UACGAAGGGUGCAAACGUUGCUCGGAAUUAUUGGGCGUAAAGCGCACGUAGGCGGCUUAGCAAGUCGGAUGUGAAAUCCCUCGGCUCAACCAAGGAAGUGCAUCCGAAACUGCUGAGCUUGAGUACUUAAGAGGAUCGCGGAAUUCCCGGUGUAGAGGUGAAAUUCGUAGAUAUCGGGAGGAACACCAGUGGCGAAGGCGGCGCCUGGGCCAAUAUUGACGCUGAGGUGCGAAAAGCGUGGGGAGCAAACAGGG
Molecule: ribosomal RNA, 254 nt
Filed under: uncultured bacterium
Lineage: Bacteria
Description: partial 16S ribosomal RNA
Rfam family: Bacterial small subunit ribosomal RNA
Source: RNAcentral